Molecule: ribosomal RNA, 1560 nt
Filed under: Harpiocephalus harpia (hairy-winged bat)
Lineage: Eukaryota; Metazoa; Chordata; Mammalia; Chiroptera; Vespertilionidae
Description: 16S ribosomal RNA
Rfam family: Bacterial large subunit ribosomal RNA
Source: RNAcentral
AACUAGAAAUAGCCCAAAAUAUAAAACAUUAACCUAAUAAUAUAAAACAAAUCAUUUAUAAAUUAAUAGUAUAGGUGAUAGAAAUUCUACUCGGCGCUAUAGAGAUAGUACCUUAAGGGAAAAAAUGAAAGAAACCUAAAAGUAUAAAAUAGCAAAGCUUAAUCCUUGUACCUUUUGCAUAAUGAAUCAACUAGAAAAUAUUUGCAAAAAGAAUUUAAGUUAAUUUCCCCGAAACCAGACGAGCUACCCCUUAGCAGUCUUAUAGGACAAACUCAUCUAUGUGGCAAAAUAGUGAAAAGACUAAGAGGUAGAGGCGAAAAACCUAUCGAGCCUGGUGAUAGCUGGUUGUCCAGAACAGAACUUUAGUUCUAACUUAAAUUUACUAUACAACAAACAAAUUAAAACGUAAGCUUAAGUAAUAGUCUAAAAAGGUACAGCUUUUUAGAUACAGGAUACAACCCUAAUUAGUGAGGUAAAAAAAAUAAAUUAUUCCAGUUGGCCUAAAAGCAGCCAUCAAACAAGAAAGCGUUUAAGCUCGAUAAUAUAAACAUAAACUAACCCCAAUUAUAUAAUAAAACACUCCUAAUACACACUGGACCAAUCUAUUAUCUAAUAGAAGAAAUAAUGUUGGCAUGAGUAACAAGAACUAUUUCUCCCUGCAUAAGUGUAUAUCAGAACGAAUAGAUCACUGAUAAUUACCAAAAAUAACAUAACCAAAUAAUUAAUGAUAUUGAUUCAAACUGUUAGUCCAACACAGGAAUGCAAACAGGGAAAGAUUAAAAGAAGUAAAAGGAACUCGGCAAAUAUAAAUCCCGCCUGUUUAUCAAAAACAUCACCUCUAGCAUAAAAAGUAUUAGAGGCAACGCCUGCCCAGUGACAUUAGUUCAACGGCCGCGGUAUCCUGACCGUGCAAAGGUAGCAUAAUCACUUGUUCUCUAAAUAAGGACUUGUAUGAAUGGCUUCACGAGGAUUUUACUGUCUCUUACUUCCAAUCAGUGAAAUUGACUUUCCCGUGAAGAGGCGGGAAUUAAUUAAUAAGACGAGAAGACCCUAUGGAGCUUUAACUAACUAGCUCAUAAAUAAUUGUAACAAGAAUCUACAAGAAAUUAAUAUUACUCAAAUUGAACUAGUAGUUUAGGUUGGGGCGACCUCGGAAUAAAAACUAACUCCCGAGAAUUUUCAAUCAAGACAAACAAGUCGAAAUUACUAUACAAUUAUAUUGAUCCGUCAAUAGACGACCAACGGAAUAAGUUACCCUAGGGAUAACAGCGCAAUCCUAUUUAAGAGUCCUUAUCGACAAUUAGGGUUUACGACCUCGAUGUUGGAUCAGGACAUCCCAAUGGUGCAGCAGCUAUUAAUGUGUUCGUUUGUUCAACGAUUAAAGUCCUACGUGAUCUGAGUUCAGACCGGAGUAAUCCAGGUCGGUUUCUAUCUAUUUAAAAGGUUUUCCCCUGUACGAAAGGACAAGGAAAACAAGGCCCACUUAAAACUAAGCGCCUUAUAACAUAGAUGAACUAAUCUCAAACUAAUAAACAAUUAACUGCCCAAAAACAGGGCCUA